GCCUCGUUAGCUCAGUUGGUAGAGCGUGAGACUUUUAAUCUCAAGGUCAGGGGAUCGAGACCCCUACGGGGCU
RNAcentral lists this transfer RNA (73 nucleotides) under Globodera rostochiensis. It matches the Rfam family "tRNA". Rfam says of the family: Transfer RNA (tRNA) molecules are approximately 80 nucleotides in length. Lineage: Eukaryota; Metazoa; Nematoda; Chromadorea; Rhabditida; Heteroderidae. RNAcentral also lists the same sequence under 1 other name. The record is from Rfam by way of RNAcentral.